AUGAAACCUUCAAUUCGCAAUAUCCUGAGUGCUGCGUGGAUGGGAAGCUCAUUUCCCUGGAGAGGAGCGACGUGGAGAGGAACCUCACCAGCCACUGUGAGAAGCAGAGUGCCAACCACAAGCCUGCCUAUGACCAGGGUGGCCCGGUGGAAAUCUUGCCUUUUCUCUACCUUGGUAGUGCCUAUCAUGCUUCCAAGUGCGAGUUCCUCGCCAACCUGCACAUCACGGCCCUGCUCAAUGUCUCCAGGAAGAGCUCUGAGUCCUUUCAAGACCAGUACUGCUACAAGUGGAUCCCUGUGGAGGACAGCCACACGGCAGACAUCAGCUCGCACUUUCAGGAGGCCAUUGACUUCAUUGAUUAUGUCAGACGAGCAGGGGGCAAGAUCCUGGUGCACUGCGAAGCAGGGAUUUCACGCUCUCCCACCAUCUGCAUGGCGUACCUCAUGAAGACAAAGAAGCUGCGCCUGGAGGAGGCCUUUGACUACAUCAAGCAGCGCCGGAGCCUGAUCUCACCAAACUUUGGUUUCAUGGGACAGUUGCUACAAUAUGAGUCAGAGAUCCUGUCUUCCACCCCCAGCCCUCCCGUUGCCUCGUGCAAAACAGAAGCCGCCUCUUUCUUUGCAGAAGAACUGACGUUAGGCAAAAAUUUUGAAGGCUCGUGUUUCGCCUUCCCUACCUCAGUGCUGAGUUCUGUGCCCAUCCACUCCCCUGUCCAUCCGCUGAAGCUCAGCCCUAUGACGGCUUUUUCUUCCUGNNNNNNNNNNNNNNNNNNNNGCUGAACACCCCGGAGCCCUCAGAGCCCAACUGUGACCCUAAUGAGAAUAUUUCAUGAACGUGCAAUAGAGAACCUCACUGACUUAGUCUGAGGUGGUCCUUGUGGGUGAUACUUCCCAUACACUGACUGUGAGGCACAAGUGGCAGGUUUUCUGAACUUUUAAUGUUGUUUUGUGCGGUGUUUUUGGUUUUGUUUGUUUUUUUUUUUUAGAAGUACUUUUCUAGGUUUUUAUCCAGAGUGUGCAGCCACUACUGUAUUUCCAGAUUCCUGGGGAGCAAUGAGAAAUCCAUUUCAGGUAUUCUCAGUUCCCACUUUCUUCCCUUUUUUAUUUUUAAGAAGAACCUUAUUUAAAGUUUCAAGCAAUAAACAGCAGCAGUGGAGGGAAAAACA
RNAcentral lists this long non-coding RNA (1165 nucleotides) under Chrysolophus pictus (golden pheasant). RNAcentral's name for it is "lncRNA (ENSCPIG00010009157.1)". The record is from RNAcentral. Lineage: Eukaryota; Metazoa; Chordata; Aves; Galliformes; Phasianidae.